Molecule: long non-coding RNA, 324 nt
Organism: Neofelis nebulosa (Clouded leopard)
Lineage: Eukaryota; Metazoa; Chordata; Mammalia; Carnivora; Felidae
Exons: 3
Source: RefSeq, a predicted model, not a curated record
UCCACGGUAACAUCUUCCAUUGUCAACUGGCCUUCAAAGAUGCCGGUGGACCUCUCACAAGGGAGAUCUCUAUUGCUCUACUGAGCGAACCAUUGUCUGUGUCCUCCAGAAGUACAGAGUCAGGUGAUAGGUUUUCAGGUCUUAUGUGGCUGUGUGGAGAUCUGACCCUGGCUAUCAGCCUAUGAACAACAAGUUGAGUAGAAGAGGAUCUUAAGAAGACCAAGCUUCAUUCUGUGAGGCACUUGCUGCGGAAGUAGCAGUAGGCGACGCAGGCGAGCUCUGGUCAGGAAGCAAGGCGAAUGACAGAGGCCUGGAGUGAAGGGG